Molecule: long non-coding RNA, 1772 nt
Filed under: Phascolarctos cinereus (koala)
Lineage: Eukaryota; Metazoa; Chordata; Mammalia; Diprotodontia; Phascolarctidae
Description: lncRNA (ENSPCIG00000014387.2)
Source: RNAcentral
UGAAGAAGGCAGUUGGCUACUACUGUGGAAGUAUUUUAGUAACUGUGGAGCGUGGGAAAAUAUCCCUUUGUUGGCAGAGCAAUGAACUUGUCAUGUAAACUAACUGAUAUAUCCAAGGAAAGGGACAGUAUUUCCGGCUGUUUGUUCCUUUCUAUUGAUGGGUGUAGGAGCAACAGGAAUGGAAAUAACCCAAGGUAAUCCUUAGACUUCCUUCACAUGGAGAGUGUGAAGAAUUUACAAUUGGGUCUUUGCAAAGCAGGCCUGUGACACUUACUACCCAGGGUGUCAGUAAAGGCGAGUUACCCUUCCUGGAAGAACUUUGAAUGAGAUGCAAAGAGACCCUGGGAACUUGACCAGUCAAACUUAGAAGUAUGAAGAGAAUGUAGUGGGAGGAAGUGGAGGCCGUGAGUCAGCAUGAGUCAUUCUGUUCCAAUGAGAAUGAAGGCUGACUGAGAGGUGUGUGUAUCUUUUUUUGGUUUGGGUUUUGGGUUUUUUUUUCUCUUCGUCUUAAUCUUUGGAACAUCAUUGGUGAAUGGAGGAAAAAAGUAAGUGAUUUUGCUUAUAUGCUUGGUGCUUUUCAGGUAUUAAGUUCUCACUUCAAUGAUACUUUGCAUGAAUACAUAAAUGUGACUUUUAUCCCCCUAGGCAUCCUGUUCUCAAGGAGGUGGAGCAACCGACUUCUCCUUGGCUCAGAAAGCUUCCAAUGACAGGCUUGUCACCUAAGAAGAAUAAGUACUUGACAACUAUUUCGAUCAGUGAGACAACAUUGGGAGCUAAGCAAAAACAACAAAAAGCCCAUACUUGUCUGUAUCCAGUGCUUGAGAUCAAGUCAAUUCAACUAGCAUUUAUUAAGCACCUACUCUGUGCCAGCCACUGUAGUAAGUGCUUGGGUUGCAAGAAAGACAAAGACAAUCCCUGAUGUCAAGGAACUGAAAAUGUCAUGGGGAAGACAACUUGCCAGACCAUGUUUCUGAACUUCAGAGUGAAUUAAAAGUAAAUGCCAAAUGGAGCAGUGGUGAGUUUUCAACAAUGUUUUAACUUCAUUGUUUGUAGAUACUUUCUCCCAAGGUUCAAAAUUUACCCCCUUCUACCACUAUACCUUCUUUUUAAUCUGUGGUGUUUGGUAUUCAAAAUGGGAGGGGGGGAGCUGAAAGAGGAAGUAUGUACCUAUCUACACAGCAUCUAAUAUUUGUCUAACUGGGCCUGCUACAUUACUCUUUUCUCUGAAUAUCCACACACACACACACACACACACACACACACACACACACAUACACAUCCCUGUAUACAACAUUGCAGUUAUAGCUGGGUGGGCGUUCAGUGCUGCCUAACGAAUGAUGCCAAGGCAGAGAAAAUGUGAUCAUCUAAUGAUGUUACAGAACUUUACAAAAUAAUUUCUCCUCUAAUUGGUGUUCAAGCUUAGUCAUAGCAUAGUCUGAUGUAAUUAUGCUUAAGUAGAAGUGAAGAUACUAUGAGAGUAACUAGCUAGUGUUUGUAAAUUGUUUCAAGCUUUUUUAAGAAAGAUUUUUUUCCCCUCAGACUUGUGAUUUCAUCUUCGUGGUGAAGUCUUGAUAGGAAAACUCCCUACAACAAAGAGGAUCAGUAAGUCAUCUGUAACUUAAAAUCAAUCUUAGAGAAUUGCCUGGGGUACCAAGAAGUUAAGCCACUUGCCCCACGAUCACACAGCUAGUAAGUGUCAAAGGACCUAAAGCCAGGUUUCACCAAUUCUAAGACGGGCCUCCUAUCCUGUCUGUCUAGAAAGAAAGUCAUCC